AAAGAAACUGAUCAAUAUUAUAUAUGUGAAUUGUUAUCCUUAAAGAACAUUCGUCAACGAAUGUUAGUUGUUGUUUGUUAAUUGGGUUGUUAAUUAACAAGCAUUAUUAAAAGCAUUUGGUUAAGGGUUAGUAGAUAAUUAUAUUGCAAAUGUCUUCAACUUCAUUAAAAAAAAUAAAAAAUACUUACAUAUGCAAUGAUUUG
This 203-nucleotide long non-coding RNA is filed under the name Capsella rubella. RNAcentral's name for it is "long non-coding RNA (CRUB_LNC002354)". Lineage: Eukaryota; Viridiplantae; Streptophyta; Magnoliopsida; Brassicales; Brassicaceae. The record is from RNAcentral.